CGUGUAGGCGGUCGAGUGAGUGAGAUGUGAAAUGCCCCGGCUCACCCGGGGACCUGCAUCUCAUACUGCUAGGCUAGAGUACGGGAGAGGAUGAGGGAAUUCCUGGUGUAGCGGUGAAAUGCGUAGAUAUCAGGAGGAACACCGGUGGCGAAAGCGCUCAUCUGGCCCGAUACUGACGCUGAGGCGCGAAAGCUAGGGGAGCAAACGGGAUUAGAUACCCCGGUAGUCCUAGCCGUAAACGGUGAGCACUAGGUGUUGGAGGCAUCGACCCCUCCAGUGCCGCAGCUAACGCAUUAAGUGCUCCGCCUGGGGAGUACGGCCGCAAGGUUGAA
RNAcentral lists this ribosomal RNA (332 nucleotides) under uncultured Pseudoalteromonas sp. Its description in RNAcentral is "bacterial SSU rRNA". It matches the Rfam family "Bacterial small subunit ribosomal RNA", at positions 568 to 898 of the family's 1533-position model. Lineage: Bacteria; Pseudomonadati; Pseudomonadota; Gammaproteobacteria; Alteromonadales; Pseudoalteromonadaceae. The record is from RNAcentral.